Molecule: ribosomal RNA, 349 nt
Filed under: Wagneriana uzaga
Lineage: Eukaryota; Metazoa; Arthropoda; Arachnida; Araneae; Araneidae
Description: partial small subunit ribosomal RNA
Source: RNAcentral
UUCUAAAUUAUUUUAGGUACUACUUUACUUUUAGGAAACCUAUGCAGUUUGGCGGCAUUAAUUCAUUUUAGAGGAACCUGCCUUUUAAUCGAUAACCCACGAUAAAUUUUACUUCUAUUUAUAUCUUAUAUACCUCCAUCUUAAGGAUUAAUAUUUUUAUUCUUCCCUAAAUAAAAAUUUAAAAAGUUAGGUAAAGGUGUAGACAAUAUGGAAGAUAAUGUGGGUUACUAUAAACUUUAUUUAAGGAUAUUUAGUAAAAAUUAAAUUUGAAAACGGAUUUAUUAGUAAUUUAAGAAUAUUACUCUUUUAUGAAAUUGAUAAACAAUGUGCACACAUCGCCCGUCGCUCU